GCUUUCGUUAAUUUAGUCGCUGUAAGAGGAACCAAACCGUACAUAACUACCUGUGACGAUGAGGGCGAUGAUGCUGUUGAUGCUGUUGAUGCUGGCAUUGGUCACUCUGUCUGGUACCUCGACGCUGCCAUGCUAUACCAGAGGAUCAAAGUGCUGGAUUUUUGGAUUUGGAAAAUUAUUUUCCCAUAGUUGCUGUCCAGGUCUGACGUGUCUACCUAGCCAUUCUAGUCCCAGGGUCUACAGAUGCAUGUCAUUUGAUGUCUUGUUCUGACAUCUGUAGCGGUCGACGGUUUAUGCGAGUAUAAAUUACAGAUGUUUUACUGCUUGGACUUGACAUCUCCACCUGCCGAACCUCUAAGCAAG
Long non-coding RNA from Pomacea canaliculata, 363 nucleotides. RefSeq lists it as uncharacterized. Lineage: Eukaryota; Metazoa; Mollusca; Gastropoda; Architaenioglossa; Ampullariidae. The record is from RefSeq and is a predicted model, not a curated record. The transcript is spliced from 3 exons.